CAGUCGCCGCGGUAAUACGUAGGUGGCAAGCGUUGUCCGGAAUUAUUGGGCGUAAAGGGCUCGCAGGCGGUUUCUUAAGUCUGAUGUGAGAGCCCCCGGCUCAACCGGGGAGGGUCAUUGGAAACUGGGAAACUUGAGUGCAGAAGAGGAGAGUGGAAUUCCACGUGUAGCGGUGAAAUGCGUAGAGAUGUGGAGGAACACCAGUGGCGAAGGCGACUCUCUGGUCUGUAACUGACGCUGAGGAGCGAAAGCGUGGGGAGCGAACAGGAUUAGAUACCCCUGUAGUCCCUGUCUCUUAUAC
Molecule: ribosomal RNA, 301 nt
Filed under: uncultured bacterium
Lineage: Bacteria
Description: partial 16S ribosomal RNA
Rfam family: Bacterial small subunit ribosomal RNA
Source: RNAcentral